This 20-nucleotide microRNA is filed under the name Bos taurus (domestic cattle). RNAcentral's name for it is "bta-miR-2386". Lineage: Eukaryota; Metazoa; Chordata; Mammalia; Artiodactyla; Bovidae. The record is from miRBase by way of RNAcentral.
UGUUUGGUUUUUCGUUUUCC